CCACAUUACCACUAUUGUGUGGCCACCACUCAGGAUGUCACAGACUUCUGUUUAGAUGCUGGAUUACAGAGGUACAGUGUGUCAUCCUGACUUCAACACAGGAGUGAAGCCCUUAUGUGACAUACUGAAGGAUUCACACUGUAAACUGGAGAGAUUGAGGUGUGAAGUUUUUCUCCUGCUCCAGCAGUAUGUUUAGUCGUAUGUCCUCAUGAAAACAGGCGCUGGUGUGAACAGCUCGGCGCUGGAAAUGGCUUUUUGUGGUGUUAUAGGUUUCUUCACAUUUCUCACUCCUGUUCUCCUCCUCUUGAUCACCAAAGGCCAUGUAGUAUUUCUGUAGCACAAGGACACAGCCAUCACCUACAGUGCCCUUCUAGCAGAGAAACAAACUGUUUUCCAUCAGACUGAUGUCAUUAUCCCUGAUGUAAGCAGGAUGUUCACUAGUUUUUAUGUCAAGAUACACUCAAUGCUGGUCAACCCAAUGCCUUUGCUCUGCUCGAUGACUACAACCACCUCAUGGGUUACGACCGGCCCUUUACAGAUGACUUGAACAAACCAGAUAAAUGUUAACUUGUCCACCAACACUGGGGAAGUUUAGCGUGUACAUUUCUAUGGACUGUUGAUGUGUAUUAAAUAUUGGCAGGAACAAUAUGUCAUCUAGUAUAUUUGUCAUGUAGAAACUUGUCUAAAAGUGUAAAUAAAUUGAUAUUUACCAUCUGCAAACACUCAAUUCAAUCUCAGUUCCCUGCCUGUGUCAUGAUUUUAUCUUUUGGCCCAACUUCUGUUUCCUUAUUCUCAGUGCUAUUUAUAGGGGGGAAAACAGUGACCUAUCUAUCGAAAGGGGAUGAUUUACAGAAACAGAGUUAGUUGUGUGAAUGCUUUGGUCAUUUCAUUUAAGAAACAAAAACUAUUGUUAGUUAUUUCAGACAGAGAGGUCUACUAGUUUUAUUCAGGAAAACAUAACAGUUAUGCUUUUGUUCACUUCAGUUUUUAUCUUUUAUAUUAUAAUAGCUUUGUCCUCUACCUCUGCAGAAAGAAGAUUGCUCUGUUCCUCAGAGCAGGUUAGUGUUUGGUACAGCUAUGAAGGGCCGUUGUAUUUCCUGUCAGUGACCGGUUCCCCCUGCUCUACAAAAGUGGCCUGGCACAAUAU
Megalobrama amblycephala (Wuchang bream) is the source of this 1147-nucleotide long non-coding RNA. RefSeq lists it as uncharacterized. The record is from RefSeq and is a predicted model, not a curated record. The transcript has 4 exons. NCBI's taxonomy places the organism in Eukaryota, Metazoa, Chordata, Actinopteri, Cypriniformes, Xenocyprididae.